GUGUCAGCAGCCGCGGUAAUACGUAGGGGGCGAGCGUUGUCCGAAUUUAUUGGGCGUAAAGCGCGUGUAGGCGGCCUUUUAAGUCAGAUGUGAAAUCUUGCGGCUCAACCGCAAAACUGCAUUUGAUACUGGAGGGCUUGAGUUUGGGAGAGGAAAGCGGAAUUCCUGGUGUAGCGGUGAAAUGCAUAGAUAUCAGGAGGAACACCCGUGGCGAAGGCGGCUUUCUGGCCCAACACUGACGCUGAGAUGCGAAAGCUGGGGGAGCAAACGGGAUUAGAUACCCCGGUAGUCCCAGCCGUAAACGAUGGAUACUAGGUGUUAGUGGUAUCGACCCCACUAGUGCCGUAGCUAACGCAUUAAGUAUCCCGCCUGGGGAGUACGGCCGCAAGGUUGAAACUCAAAUGAAUUGGCGGGG
Molecule: ribosomal RNA, 415 nt
Filed under: uncultured prokaryote
Description: bacterial SSU rRNA
Rfam family: Bacterial small subunit ribosomal RNA
Source: RNAcentral